Molecule: ribosomal RNA, 402 nt
Filed under: uncultured bacterium
Lineage: Bacteria
Description: bacterial SSU rRNA
Rfam family: Bacterial small subunit ribosomal RNA
Source: RNAcentral
UCGGGAAUUUUGGGCAAUGGGCGAAAGCCUGACCCAGCAACGCCACGUGAGGGAUGAAGUAUUUCGGUAUGUAAACCUCGAAAGAGUGGGAAGAAUAAAUGACGGUACCAUUUAUAAGCUCCGGCUAACUACGUGCCAGCAGCCGCGGUAAUACGUAGGGAGCAAGCGUUGUUCGGAUUUACUGGGCGUAAAGGGCGCGUAGGCGGCGCGGUAAGUCACUUGUGAAAUCUCUGAGCUUAACUCAGAACGGCCAAGUGAUACUGCUGUGCUAGAGUGCGGAAGAGGCAACCGGAAUUCUUGGUGUAGCGGUGAAAUGCGUAGAUAUCAAGAGGAACACCUGAGGCGAAGGCGGGUUGCUGGGCCGACACUGACGCUGAUGCGCGAAAGCCAGGGGAGCAAACG